RNAcentral lists this transfer RNA (74 nucleotides) under Enterocloster bolteae. RNAcentral's name for it is "tRNA-His". It matches the Rfam family "tRNA". Rfam says of the family: Transfer RNA (tRNA) molecules are approximately 80 nucleotides in length. Their secondary structure includes four short double-helical elements and three loops (D, anti-codon, and T loops). Further hydrogen bonds mediate the characteristic L-shaped molecular structure. tRNAs have two regions of fundamental functional importance: the anti-codon, which is responsible for specific mRNA codon recognition, and the 3' end, to which the tRNAs corresponding amino acid is attached (by aminoacyl-tRNA synthetases). tRNAs cope with the degeneracy of the genetic code in two manners: having more than one tRNA (with a specific anti-codon) for a particular amino acid; and 'wobble' base-pairing, i.e. permitting non-standard base-pairing at the 3rd anti-codon position. Lineage: Bacteria; Bacillati; Bacillota; Clostridia; Lachnospirales; Lachnospiraceae. The record is from RNAcentral.
GUGGCCAUAGUUUAAUGGUAGAACGGCAGAUUGUGGAUCUGCUCAUCGGGGUUCGAUUCCCCGUGGUCACCCCA